GUGUGUGUAGUGUGUGUAGUGUGUGUAGUGUGUGUGUGGUGUGUGUAGUGUGUGUAGUGUGUGUAGUGUGUGUGUGGUGCAACCAGGCUGUUCAGUGUGUAGUGUGUGUGUGUGUGUAGUGUGUGUGUGGUGCAGCCAGGCGGUUCAGUGUGUAGUGUGUGUGUGGUGUGUGUAGUGUGUGUGUGGUGUGUGUAGUGUGUGUGUGGUGCAGCCAGGCUGUUCAUUGUGUAGUGUGUGUGUGGUGCAGCCAGGCUGUUCAGUGUGUAGUGUGUGUGUGGUGUGUGUAGUGUGUGUAGUGUGUGUGUUGUGUGUGUGGUGUGUGUAGUGUGUGUAGUGUGUGUAGUGUGUGUGUGUAGUGUGUGUAGUGUGUGUAGUGUGUGUAGUGUGUGUGUAGUGUGUGUAGUGUGUGUGUGUGGUGCAGCCAG
Long non-coding RNA from Clupea harengus (Atlantic herring), 425 nucleotides. The record is from Ensembl. Lineage: Eukaryota; Metazoa; Chordata; Actinopteri; Clupeiformes; Clupeidae.